This 188-nucleotide ribosomal RNA is filed under the name uncultured bacterium. RNAcentral describes it as "partial 16S ribosomal RNA". It matches the Rfam family "Bacterial small subunit ribosomal RNA", at positions 1304 to 1500 of the family's 1533-position model. The record is from RNAcentral.
UCUGCAACCGACCCCACGAAGCUGGAUUCGCUAGUAAUCGCGCAUCAGCCAUGGCGCGGUGAAUACGUUCCCGGGCCUUGUACACACCGCCCGUCAAGCCAUGAAAGCCGGGGGCGCCUGAAGUCCGUGACCGCGAGGGUCGGCCUAGGGUGAAACCGGUGAUUGGGGCUAAGUCGUAACAAGGUAAC